UACGGGGGGGGCAAGCGUUGUUCGGAAUUACUGGGCGUAAAGGGCUCGUAGGCGGCCAACUAAGUCAGACGUGAAAUCCCCAGGCUUAACCUGGGAACUGCGUCUGAUACUGGAUGGCUUGAAUUCGGGAGAGGGAUGCAGAAUUCCAGGUGUAGCGGUGAAAUGCGUAGAUAUCUGGAGGAAUACCGGUGGCGAAGGCGGCAUCCUGGACCGACAUUGACACUGAUGAGCGAAAGCUAGGGGAGCAAACGGG
RNAcentral lists this ribosomal RNA (253 nucleotides) under uncultured bacterium. RNAcentral's name for it is "partial 16S ribosomal RNA". It matches the Rfam family "Bacterial small subunit ribosomal RNA", at positions 524 to 776 of the family's 1533-position model. The record is from RNAcentral.